UCUAUAAUUUGAGAUAUGGGCUGAACACCAAAUAGUGUAUGGGCUAUAGGAUAAAUUCAGACUUCUGUUUUUUUGCUAAGAUUUUAACUUCAAAAUGACAGUGAUAAAUCUUGGACUCCUCAUUAAUGUUUUAGGCCUAUGUCUUAGCUUUCCAUC
Populus trichocarpa (black cottonwood) is the source of this 156-nucleotide non-coding RNA. NCBI's taxonomy places the organism in Eukaryota, Viridiplantae, Streptophyta, Magnoliopsida, Malpighiales, Salicaceae. The record is from Rfam.